CUAUUUACAGGCUUAACACAUGCAAGUCGAGGGGCAGCAUGGUCUUAGCUUGCUAAGGCCGAUGGCGACCGGCGCACGGGUGAGUAACGCGUAUCCAACCUGCCUUACACUCUUGGACAGCCUUCUGAAAGGGAGAUUAAUACAAGAUGUUAUCAUGAGUAAGCAUUUUCGCAUGAUUAAAGGUUUACCGGUGUAAGAUGGGGAUGCGUUCCAUUAGAUAGUAGGCGGGGUAACGGCCCACCUAGUCUUCGAUGGAUAGGGGUUCUGAGAGGAAGGUCCCCCACAUUGGAACUGAGACACGGUCCAAACUCCUACGGGAGGCAGCAGUGAGGAAUAUUGGUCAAUGGACGAGAGUCUGAACCAGCCAAGUAGCGUGAAGGAUGAAGGUUCUAUGGAUUGUAAACUUCUUUUAUACGGGAAUAAACGAAUCCACGCGUGGAUUUUUGCAUGUACCGUAUGAAUAAGGAUCGGCUAACUCCGUGCCAGCAGCCGCGGUAAUACGGAGGAUCCGAGCGUUAUCCGGAUUUAUUGGGUUUAAAGGGAGCGUAGAUGGGUUGUUAAGUCAGUUGUGAAAGUUUGCGGCUCAACCGUAAAAUUGCAAUUGAUACUGGCAGUCUUGAGUACAGUUGAGGUAGGCGGAAUUCGUGGUGUAGCGGUGAAAUGCUUAGAUAUCACGAAGAACUCCGAUUGCGAAGGCAGCUUACUAACCUGUAACUGACAUUGAUGCUCGAAAGUGUGGGUAUCAAACAGGAUUAGAUACCCUGGUAGUCCACACGGUAAACGAUGAAUACUCGCUGUAGGCGAUAUACAGUCUGCGGCCAAGCGAAAGCAUUAAGUAUUCCACCUGGGGAGUACGCCGGCAACGGUGAAACUCAAAGGAAUUGACGGGGGCCCGCACAAGCGGAGGAACAUGUGGUUUAAUUCGAUGAUACGCGAGGAACCUUACCCGGGCUUAAAUUGCAACCGAAUAUGGCGGAAACGCUAUAGCUAGCAAUAGCGGUUGUGAAGGUGCUGCAUGGUUGUCGUCAGCUCGUGCCGUGAGGUGUCGGCUUAAGUGCCAUAACGAGCGCAACCCUUGCCGAUAGUUACUAACAGGUUAUGCUGAGGACUCUGUCGGGACUGCCAUCGUAAGAUGUGAGGAAGGUGGGGAUGACGUCAAAUCAGCACGGCCCUUACGUCCGGGGCUACACACGUGUUACAAUGGGGGGUACAGAGGGCUGCUACCACGCAAGUGGAUGCCAAUCCCAAAAACCUCUCUCAGUUCGGAUUGAAGUCUGCAACCCGACUUCAUGAAGCUGGAUUCGCUAGUAAUCGCGCAUCAGCCACGGCGCGGUGAAUACGUUCCCGGGCCUUGUACACACCGCCCGUCAAGCCAUGGGAGCCGGGGGUACCUGAAGUGCGUAACCGCAAGGAGCGCCCUAGGGUAAAACUGGUGACUG
RNAcentral lists this ribosomal RNA (1439 nucleotides) under uncultured organism. RNAcentral's name for it is "SSU rRNA". It matches the Rfam family "Bacterial small subunit ribosomal RNA". The record is from RNAcentral.